RNAcentral lists this ribosomal RNA (318 nucleotides) under Salmonella enterica subsp. enterica serovar Ohio. RNAcentral's name for it is "partial 23S ribosomal RNA". It matches the Rfam family "Bacterial large subunit ribosomal RNA", at positions 1 to 314 of the family's 2925-position model. Lineage: Bacteria; Pseudomonadati; Pseudomonadota; Gammaproteobacteria; Enterobacterales; Enterobacteriaceae. The record is from RNAcentral.
GGGUUGUGAGGUUAAGCGACUAAGCGUACACGGUGGAUGCCCUGGCAGUCAGAGGCGAUGAAGGGCGUGCUAAUCUGCGAUAAGCGCCGGUAAGGUGAUAUGAACCGUUAUAACCGGCGAUACCCGAAUGGGGAAACCCAGUGUGACUCGUCACACUAUCAUUAACUGAAUCCAUAGGUUAAUGAGGCGAACCGGGGGAACUGAAACAUCUAAGUACCCCGAGGAAAAGAAAUCAACCGAGAUUCCCCCAGUAGCGGCGAGCGAACGGGGAGGAGCCCAGAGCCUGAAUCAGCAUGUGUGUUAGUGGAAGCGUCUGGA